GGGAGUUGGGCGCUAAGUGGUGCGGGCUGGGCGCUGGUGGGCGGGGUGCGGGUCCCCGAUUUCGGGGGCGCCCGGGACCCCAGCGCCUGCCUUGACAACUGCUGUUGCGGAAUGCAGCCGAGACUUUCCGAGCGCCUGGGGAGGGACGUGCAGAUAGUGCUGGGGCCCCGCCGGAGUCUCGGCAUCUGCAGUCUUCGGGGCUGUGGCUUCCCAGUCGCCCGGGCUCGGUCCCGAAAACUGGCAGACCUACUUUGAUCCCGGAGACUCAGUGUUUUCCGCCUUGAAAUGGAGCCACAGCUAUGCACCAUGAGCAUCCAUCCAUGGGCGGGCCCUGGUUUUCUUCCUCUCCGGGACCCUCCUGUUCAGUGUGAACGCCCUCUGUACACUGUGGAAUGAUGUGUCUGCCCACCACCUGUCUGUUGUCUCUGAUAACCGGCGGGGAGGUGACCCGAGAGACUCUGCAGGACCUUAUCCUCAAGCAACUUUAACCCCGGUGGAGUUGGAAUGGCUUCCAGUCCCACGUGUGUUUCUGGACGCCCGGCGCACGGUGCCCUUUCCCAAAACCUCUUGUCGGUUUCUGAUCCCUUUCAGCCGUUCAGCAAGCCGUCGGCGAGCGCCGCCUGUAUUUCAGACACUGUGCCAGACUCUGGGAGGAAAUGAAAGCAGUUCCCUGACGACUGGGAGCUGGAACGUUAAACGCGUAAUCGCACUAGACAAGGUAAUGUGUGUAUCACUGGUGAGGGCUCUGAACGGGCUGCCUGGGCGCUGUCUCAGCCCUGCAGCGGGAGACUUACUCUGACCCCUGAAGCCUGUGGCUCCUCCCUGGGGCGCUUGGUACUUGUCACUUAACUGCUUCCUCCCAGAUGCUGAGAAACCGAGAACUCCUGGCUUCCUUCCUCUCUGCCACUUUCACGUGCGCCCUCGGCUUCUCCUGCCCAACCUCUCCACUCCUGGACCAGCAUGGUGAGGACUCUUGCUCCCAGUUUUUCCAGCACAGGCUGAGCAAUGAGGGUUCAAUUUUCUGACAUUACAUCUCUGGGCUUGACAUCUGUAGCAAAAUCGUCAAGACUUGGGUCUCCUGGGCUCUGGAGUCCACACUGCUCUGGUAACCCUCUAUGGCUGAUCAAACCUCUCCCUCUCUCUUCCUGGUUGCUGGCUUUGUUUUUGUUCAUGUGCUGUUGAUCACUCAGAUCCCUCCACCCAGAAAGCCCUCUCCUUCUGUUAGUGGAAAUAUUGUUCAUCCUCCCUGUCUAGUUGAAGUGCCACAAAAUUCCCUAAAACUCCUCCUCAGGGACUAUGGACUUUCUUUGGAUUUCUAGCAAAGUAAUGAUUAUCUUUAAAUGAAUUCCUAGCCCCAGGCAAUGUAUUAAAUGCUUGAUGUGCACUCUUAACGCUCUGGGUUACUCUUACUGUUUGUGGUGGUUGAUUUUCUUAUACCCAUUUGCAAAUGAGGCUUUGAUUAAAGAAUGCAGCAGCCAGAAUGAUCCUGUUUGGACAAAGGUUAGAUUUUAUCAUUCCUCAGUUUAAAUUCCUCCAGUGGCUUCCAGCCUGUCCCUGGGUUCCCUAUACAGAACUAUAAGACCCUACAAGCCUGCAUAUGAUUAACCCUUAUCCCUCACUCUCUGCGUUGUGCUUCAGUCCUAAUCUUCCUUACUGUUUCUCAGAGCUCUGCAAAUGCAUUCCUGCCUCGCCUCAGGACCCUUGCACUUGUUACCUCUAGAAUGCCCACUCUUCUAUUUUCUAAAUUCUAGCCUCAUGUGCUUUUCAAAUAUAUUUUUAUUGUGCCAAAAUACACACAAUGGAAAUUUUACCAUUUUAACCAUUUUAAGUAUGCAGUUGAGCAGCAUAAGUACAUUCACAUUGUUGCACAAUCAUUGCCACUGUCCAUCUCCACAACUUUUCCCUCACUCCGGACUUAAAUUCUAUGCCCAUUAAACACUUAACUCCUCAUUCCUCCCUUCCAAACCUCCAGAAACUGCCAUUAUCCUUUGCUCUAUGCAUUUGACUAUUCUACUUAUACUUUGUAUAAGUGAAAUCAUAUAAUCCUUGUCAUUGUGUGUCUGGCUUAUUUCAUUGAUAUUUUCAAGGUUAAUUUUUGUUGUAGCACGUAUGAGAAUGUCAUUCUUUUUUAAGAUUGAAUAAUAUUCCAUUACAUGUAGAUACCACAUUUUGUUUAGCCAUUCAUCCAUUGAUGGACAUUUGGGUUGUUUCCGCCUUUUGGCUAUUAUGAAUAAUGUUGCAAUGAAUAGUCUUCUAUCUUUUAUACUUCAAUAGAUACAUAGUAUUUAUAAAAUCAGAUAAUGUUGCAAAAUUCUUUUAUGUGCCUCUAGAGCAGAGAGCACAGUGCUGUCUAGAGUGAUCUUUCAUAAACACAAGCUCCCUCCUGCUUGGGCUCACCUAUGGCUUCCCUUCACUUUAGACUUGUCUAUGAGAAACCUUACUACAGUCUGCAAGAUCUAAGCGAUCUGACCCAACCUCCAGCUUUUGCCUUUUCUCUUUUCCUUCUAGUUAUUCCUCAAACACACCCAGCUGCUGAUCACCUUAGGGCCUUUGCAAACUUGCUCUGCCCUUCUCUGAAAAUAACUCCCUUCAGACCUUUGCAUGGUUCAGGAACCCAAUCAGAGGUUCUGCCUCAGAGAGAACUUCCUGACCAGCGGAUCUAAAAUAUCGCCUAGUGCCCCAGUUGUCUCCAUUUUCUUGAGUUUUCUUCAGAGCACGUCUCAUUUGGGGUCUCCUGCCCUACAAUGUGAGCUUCAAGAAAAGCAGGAAUUUGGUGCUUUUCUUGUCUUUUAUGGUACUCCUAUCUCUGUCAGAACAGACUUCUCUUUAUUGUGAAUCAGAAAACGGGUGCCCGUGCUCUUUCUGGACAGAGGAAUUUGCAGAAAGGUUCACCCUCUUCCUGAGCCAACGCAGCCAAGGCACAAAGAUUUCAGCUCCUGCCCCUGUUGUCUAUACAAUGCUGAAUUGUGGACCCUCGCAGGCAUGGCACACAGUAGGUGCUCAAUAAUUACUGGUCGAGCGAAAUAUAGCAAUUAAGAUCAUGACGGGAGAUAAAAUAUUCAGUGUGGGGCUCUCCUUCUCACCCCAUCUUGUAGCUCCAUAGAGGAUUCUGCAGGAAAUUGGAUUUGAGCUUUUUCUCAUGUCUUAUAGAGUCACUUGCGGAUCAAAGCUGCACACCAGCCCUGUCUGCCCCCAAUGGGGACUUGAGCUUGAGAACCCAGCUUUAAUCCUAGGACUCUUUGAUCACUUUCUACAAUGUGGGAUGUACCAGGCAGGGAUAGGGCUCCUGGGGCUUUAUCCUACUCACAGAGACAAUACCAUUUCCUGGGAAAACUGAUCUGCACUGACUGAAAUUAAACAAGAAAUGUUACUUUCAGACUAAGCCCUCCUACUAGGCCUGUUGUGGCAUUAAAUCAUAUAAUGUGCAUAAAGGGCUUACGGUAGAUCCUGGUCAAAUGUAAGCAUGAUUAGCUGUGGGUGUAAUAAAAGCUCAGCACCAACAGGAGCUCUGAAAAGGGAUAGACAGGAUUUCAGCUGAGGGCAAAACCCUCUGCUAUGGCCUGCAUUUUUCUGAUCUCAUCUCCUAUCCUUUCUUUCUCACUCCAAACCAGCCACAAACACUUCCUGCCCUUGAAGGCACCGUGCUCAUUCCAGCCCAAGACCUUUAGUUAGCUGUUAUGUCUGCCAGCUGUUUUUUUCCAAGAUCCCCCCACUCUGUCCCCAAUAAUUGCUAGCUGUCUCUGAUCCUUCAGAUCCCAGUCAAAUGACACCUAUUCACAGAGACCUUUUUAAACACACUCUUUCAUACUUUAUAUCUUGCUCUAUUUUCUUCACAGUGCAUAUCCCUCUUUGCCACAGUCUCAUUUAUUUGCUUAUUCACUUGCUUGUUACUGAGCAUCUCCAAAUAGAAUAUCAGCCACACUUGGCAGUUUCCUUGAGGGCUGUACCCUGCUAUUUCCCUGCAUUGUGGAAUAUUAGUCCCUGAAACGUGGAAAGAGAUUGAUACCUUUUUGAUGAAUGAUGAAUCUCUCCUCGCUUUCCCCAUCUUCCCAUCUUUACUUCCUGUUUUAUAAAAAUGAGCCAUAUAUUCUAUGACUCACUCUUUGGUGUUCCAUCUUGUCAUCAGUAACAGGAAGGUUCAGUCGGAGGAGAAGUGACAGGUGCAGGCCCCCAAUCUUCCUAAUGAGGAUAUAAGAACUUUUCCUGCUGAAUAUCUUCACCUGGACUUUCUUAGGGACCCAUGUUGCUGACCCCAUUUGUCAAGAACUGUACCCUCAGGCUGGAGUGGCCAAGCUCUGAGCUGAGAGGGUAUAAAAGUAGACUGGAUCAGAAAGUCAGACGGGUUGGCCUUUGUGAUAGUCUGCUUCUAAUACCCUUUAAUCUUGGCCAAAUCCUUUAGCUGUUCUCAGCUGCAAAAUGAGGAUGCCUUUAAUGAAUGAGUUCCAGGCUGGUGAGAGACACCAAAAGCAAAACCCAAAAAAUCAUGGGUGUUGUAUUUCCUACAAGCCCAAAGCCUUCUAGCUCCUCCUCUCUUUGGGGAUCACCAAGCUCAACUGACGUGUUCUCAGAGAAGCCUGAUCUCCCCAAACAGACUCCAUCUUUCAGCUGUCUGACCUCCCAGUCCUGCCUUUCCUUAUGGUCAGAAUGUUUAUGGCUGUGGAGAAUUACUUGAUAUCCAUCUCUCCCUCUGGGCUGUAAGCCCCAUGAAGACAGAGACCAUGGUAGCUUUCAGCAUUUUUUUAUUCGUUUGUAAUAGAUUUUACUUUUUAGAGUAAUUUUAGGUUCACAGCCAAAUUGAGCAGAAGGUACUGAGAUUUCCCAUACACUCCUGCCCCCAAACAUGUACAGCCUCACCUGCUAUCAACAUCUCUCAAAAGAAUAGCCUUCUUGUUAAAAUUGAUGAUCUUACAUUGAUACAUCAUGAUCACCCUAGUAUGUAGUCUACAUUGGAGUUCACUUUUGGUGUUGGAUAUUCUAUGGAUUUGGACCAAUGUAUAAUGAGGUAUCCACCAUUACAGAAUUAUAAGGAGUGGUUUCCCAACCCCCAAAUCCUCUGUGCUCCCCCUUCUCUCCCUGCUCCCAACCCCUGGCAACCAUGGAUCUUUUACUGUCUCCAUAGGUUUGCCUUUUACCAAAAAAGUGUGUAGUCUUUGCAGACUGGCUUCUUUCACUUAGCAAUAUGCAUUUACAGUUCUUCAAUAUCUUUUUGAGGCUGGGUAGUUCAUUUCCUUUUACGGAUGAAUAAAAUUCUGUUGUCUAGAUGGCUUGCAGCUUAUCCACUCACUGACUGAAGGCCAUGCUGAUUGCUUCCAAGUUUUGGCAAUUAUGAAUUAAGGUGCAAUAAACAUCCACAUGCAGGUUUGUGUGUGGACAUAAGUUUUUGCCUCCUUUGGGUAAAUACCAAGGAGCUCAAUUAUUGAGUGCGUUUAGUUUUUUGAGAAACAACCAAACUGUCUUCCAAAGUGGAAAAUACAAAGUGCCAUUUUGCAUUUCCAUCAGCAAAGAAUGAGAAUUCCUAUUGCCCUACUCCUUGCUGGUACUUGGUGUCUGGGUUCUAGAUUUGGACCAUUCUAGCAAGUGCAGAGUGACAGCUCAUUGUUUUGAUUUACACUGAUGACAUAUGAUAUGGAACAUCUUUUCAGAUGUUUAUUUCCCUGGGUUUUGGCUCCACAGUAUCCCCUCAAUGCCUAGCAUAGUACCUAGACACAAGGAGGUGCUCAACAAACAUUUGGAAAAUAAAUGAACCAAUUAAUCAAUCAAACAUUAAAGCAUUCACCUCUCUAAAACCUAUAUUGAGUAAUUUUACAGUAAUUUUAGGUUCACAGCCAAACUGAGCAGAAGGUACUAAGAUAUCCCAUAUACUCCUGCCCCCAAACAUGUACAGCCUCGCCUGCUAUCAACAGCCCUCUUCCUAUAUUGAGGAAAUUCACUAAGGCUAUUGUCAGUAAUCCAAAUUGCUAUCUCUACAACUUGGUCCUUUAACAAGGCUCAAGCUUCUAAUGUACAGAAACUGAAGAAUUCUGGAUCUGAAAUUUCCCUACCUAUGUCUGGUCAGCCUGAAUCAGUCUAGACUUUGCCCCAACUACUAAUUUUACUACUACUCUACUAGUACUUAUUAUUACUUACCAGAGAUUAAACCCAAGGGUGCUUAACCACUGAGCCACAUCCUGAACCCUUUUUAUGUUUUAGAGACAGAGUCUCACUAAGUUGCUGGGACUGGCUUCAAACUUGGGCUCCUCCUGCCUCAGCCUCCUGAGUUGCUAGGAUUACAGGCAUGUGCCAUCACAUCCAGUGAGCCUAAAUUCUUGUGUAAACUCAAAAGUCAUCCAAAUUCUCUGAGCAUCAGGUUUUUCUUGUAUGAGUCCACAAAGGUAUACAUGUAAUAUCAGGAAUUAGAAAUAUCUAGCUAAACAUAGAAUAUGGUCAUAUUAAGUAAAGCAGUGGAACCAGAUGCUCUCUGAGGUCUUCUUUAAAACUCUGGGACUUGGUCUUACAUCAUAGGGUGGAAAAAGAGGGACCAGUUAUGAAGCACCACUCUGGACCUUCUGCAGUGUCUAUAUUUAGUGGCAUUUUAGCUCCUGGAUUGAGUAAGACUAAAGGGGUUGCAGGAUGUCUAUUUGAAAUGACCUCUAGACAGGCCAUUGCCUCUCUUUUCCUCUUGGAGUCUACUUUGUCAUUUCCACCAUGAGAUGCCAAUAAAACCAACCAAUCCUGCCAACGGUAAAGGAUCGCUGUUGAGUCAAGACAGUGAAUGUGGGAGAUGCCUCAAGCAGGAGAAGUUUUGAAAGAGCAAACAGAAGGCUACAAAUCUCAAACAGAGUAAAUAUACAAAGUCACUGGGUGGAUACAUCUCAAACAGACCAUCAAUCACCAGGGUCAGAUGCAAAUAUUAGGUGUAGAGGGAGCCAUCCUCCUGGCACUGCUGUGGAAAUAUCAGGGCUUGGAAAAUGCAAGUGGUUCCUGUUUAAUUACUUAUGUUUUUGUACAAAGGAAAAAAGAUCAGUACAAAACACCAAUAGAUAGGUGGUAGGAUUCAGAGCAAGGGGUUCUUCCUAGGGUACUGAGGCUCUUGAAAGAGUGACUCUCUUUUGUGAGCACCUCUAUAAAAUAAGGGGGUUGGGUACUCUAUAACCCAGGGAUCUCAAUCUUGGUUGCAUAUUAGAAUCACCUGGGGGAUAUUUUAAGACUCUAGAUGCUCACCCCACAUCCAAAACCUAUUAGACUCAGUCAUCCCAAGUGAUUUCUUACAGUAGCCAAAUUUAGGAGCAUCACUGUUCAGAGGCUUUCAUGGUUCCAAAACCGGGCUAAGGUUUCUAAGUCGUAGAUCAUAUGAUGCUCCACUAGGUGGCACCUUCCAGCAGUUUCAAGAAUGAACUCAUAAAGCAGGGCUUGGUGGUCUUUGCUAGGAUCCGUAAUCCUGAUGAGAAGACUGAACUUGUUGUUUAAAAAUUCCUAGUAAGUGGUGGAGUUACAGAAUAUUAAGAUUUGUCCUGUUGGGGAACAGGCCAGGAAAGGGGGCAGCUCCAUUCCUUACUACUGGGCUCACCCAUCCAUGCAUGCACUCUGGGCUUUCCUCCCCCAUCCAUCCAGCAGGAACAGCAAGCUCCCCUCAGAAGCCCUCCAGGAGCCCCAUUAUUGGAGUGGUGACAUCUGCUCUUUAUAUCUGGCUAGUGCAAAACACCCUGCUUUACCUUAAGGAUCUAUACUCCAUGCCCUGGGAGGUUGACUCCACCCUAAACUGCUGGCUUGGCCAAUCAGAGCACUCUAUCCCCUUCCACUUCUGUGAUUAGUCUAGGGGUGAGCACCUGAUUUCCAGAAGACAAACCUGAACCAAUGGGGUUCGUCCUGAGGAUUUUAUGAAGGAAAUAGUGGCCUCUUCUAGGUCAGCUUUCUAACAGGAUGUGAAGAGUCGGCUGAAUGUCUUGCCUUUGCUCUCCUGAAGCUUUUGUUCCUUGCUGCUGCUGCUUCUAUAUUUUUAUUAGUUGUUCACGGAUCCUUCCUUCCUUCCUUCCUUCCUUCCUUCCUUCCUUCCUCUUUUCUUCCUUCCUUCCUUCCUUUCUUUCUUUCUUUCUUUCUUUCUUUCUUUCUUUCUUUCUUUCUUUCUUUCUCUUUCCUUUCUUGUGCUGAGACUUGAACCCAGAGCCUCACACAUGCUAGGCAAAGUGCUUUACCUGGGAGCCGCAACCCCAGCCCAUCCACCAGCUUCUUGAUGCUCCUUUUUCUUGAUGAGCUUAGCCCUUGACAGGACCUAGGAACAGGGAGAAGACCCAGGUCAGGGUUUCUCCCCAGCUCCCUCACUGGGACUAUGCCACCGGCUGACUGUGUCUGCCACUAAGGGCCACAGUGCCUGUCACAGUCUCCCUGGGUUCUGAUAACUGCCCCUCCCCUUAACCUGCAGUCCUAGGGCAUUUCACUGUCCUUGGUGGUCGCCCCUCCCCUCCCAAAGUGUUCUAAUAAAUUCUUCUCAAAUUUUCCAGCAUGAGAGUGCCAUUCAUUUCCUGCCUGAGACCCUAACUCAACAAGGAUGAAGCCCCCAGAGAACAGCCUAACACAGAGGAAAGGGGAGCUGACAGAUCACUGGGUCACUAGAGCUAACCCCUGAUGUCAUCCGGGCUUCUAGUCCAACUCACCUCCCACAUUCAAACAAUUACCUAAUAAUGCUGAUUUUAUUGCCUAAUAAAUUUUAAAUGUAUCCCUUCACCUCUAGGCCUGCUCUGUAGCACAUAUUUCAGAUGCCUGUAAGAAUCCCUGAUCAGAACACUACAUCAAAUGACUAAAUUCCGUACCUUGCCGAGUACCUCAUCCUCAUCUAUGGGCUGGUCCUUGACCAUGACUUGUCUGACUUGGAUCAAAAGGAUGAAUUGGACUACUCAGACUCUCUCAGAAAUUGGAAACAAAUGACAGAGGAAAGAAGAUAGCACUUUAAUCUUCCCCCAAACCCUAUGAGGCAGGUUCUAUUAUUAUUUCCAUUUUCCAAAAGAGGAAACUGAACCAUGCCUAGACACUGUGUGCUAAGUUCUUUAUGUACAUCACCUCACUGACUCUUUUAGUUAUUCAUUCAACCGAUAUUUAUUAAUGCACCUAUCAUGUGCCAGAAACUAUGGGAGAUGCUAGGCAUUCAGUAGUGGGAAAAUGAUAAAUAACAGUCACAGGGCUUACCAUGUGGUAGUGGAAAAGACAUUGUAAAAAUGAAUACAGGAAGGGGCUGGGGAUGUGGCUCAAGCGGUAACAUGUUCGCCUGGCAUGCAUGGGGUGCUGGGUUCGAUCCUCAGCACCACAUUAAAAAAAAAAAAAGAUGUUGUGUCCACCGAAAACUAAAAAAUAAAUAUUAAAAAAUUCUCUCUCUCUGUCUCUCUCUCUUUUAAAAAAAAAUGAAUACAGGAAAAACAGUUGUCUUAGGUAGGAGGAAGGAGAAAGAGCCUCUUGGCUGUUAGACAAAACACUGGGUUAGAACCCAAUGCUGUUGGAAUCCUAGUCCAACAUUCAGCCAAGUUCCACUAUUG
Molecule: long non-coding RNA, 9503 nt
Filed under: Marmota monax (woodchuck)
Lineage: Eukaryota; Metazoa; Chordata; Mammalia; Rodentia; Sciuridae
Source: RNAcentral